This 7184-nucleotide long non-coding RNA is filed under the name Homo sapiens (human). RNAcentral's name for it is "non-protein coding CKMT2-AS1:32". The record is from RNAcentral. Lineage: Eukaryota; Metazoa; Chordata; Mammalia; Primates; Hominidae.
GGCGAGCUGGUCGGGCCGGCCUGGAAAUCCUCCCUGGCGGGGCGGGGCCAGAGGACCUCACCAAUCCCAGCGUAGACCUCCGGGCGCACCGGCCCCCACAGCUGUACCCUUGAAGGCAGGCCCGUGGGCGCUGGGCCCUUUAUAGCACCUGCCCUUUCUCUGAAACGUAAAAGGCGGAGCCAGUCUUGCUUCCCAGGCCUGGUCCUGGAGGCUCCUUUGCCAGGGCUCUGGAUCUCAGAAUGGAAGGGCCAGCAGGUGAAAUUGCACAUCUGUUGGGGGAUUUGUUUCUCUCUUCUCUCAGGUGUACCAGCCUUGGGGCCCUGGUGAGCUCUGGAGGAUGAACCCCUCAAGCCAAGGUCGGAGAGGAGGAUGUCUCAAGCUGCCUGGCUCCAGCAGCUGACCGGGCCCUGAGCCAGGGGCUGGAGGGACCUCCUUCCAGCGUCUUUGUCUGGGACCUGGAUCCAGGGACAAUUACAGUCAGGUUUCUGUUCAAGAUCAGGCCCCCUGCAGUAGAUGGCUAGAUCAUCUCGCUUUCUGUCCACACCAGCUUAACCCACGGCAGGCCAUAGCCCUGCUUAAAAAUAGCCCCGCUUGGGAUAUCCACCGCACGCCGGGAAGGCUGCCUGUAAAUAGCAAUGACCCAGCAGGAUUUUGGACAGCAGCCCUGCCAUUUCAAGGGAGCCUGCCUAGGCAUCUGGUGACCGUCACGUACUCAGCUUCUGAGGCCACGUGGACAUGACCAAUUGGUUCCUGUCUCUUCCUUCUCAGAGCCCAGCUCAUGCUCAGAGGACUUGAUGGAGCAAGGGGUGGAGCCCCAGGAAUAACCUUCUACCCAGUGUGGUUCUCCUUCAUUCUCUGAAGGAGUUUCCAUUUCUUUUAAACACGACCCAUGUUUAAAAAUAUCAUCUAUUUUACCUUUGCAUGGGGUACUGACAGGGAGAGCACGUGAGGGGGCCUUUUGGCGGGAUGGGAAGUUUCCUGAUUGGGGUGGUUAUAUAAAGAUUGGGACCAAUCAAAUUAAUUUCAUAAUCCUUUAAGGAGUCAAGACCCACCAGCUUGCAUAUUCUAUCAUCAGGGCAGUCUCGGUUUAUUCCUUCUCAAAAUAGCUCUUUUCCACACACACUUGUUUCAAGUCAGUUCAGGCACCAACUGAAAUAAAUCCAUUGACCCUGAAAUAGCCCAGCUCCCAGAUCCAGAAAAUUAUAAGGCUUUUAAAGAGCAUGGAAUUGUAGAUUUAAAGAAUGGCAGUUAUAGCAAAAACCUCCUUUUCCUCCCCAAUUGCCUAAUCAACAUUUAGGGCCCCCUCCACUCACCCGACCUCAACACCUUAUAUUUUAUAGAGUAAAUGUUUAUGUUAGUAAGGUCAGAAGAAAAAUUGGGUCAUUGUUGAGAAAAGAGGGUACCACCCUUCUUUUGGGGGACUGGUCCUCUUCAAGCUUAUUAUAAAGGUGGUGUGAUGGGGAUGAAAUCUCUACAAGGGACUCACAGUAGAAAUUCUGGCUUUCUGGAAAUCUUUCAAAUGCCAUCCCUGUCACAUGGCAUCUAUUCCCUUCUCAUCGUUACCAACUCCUUUUGAAGCUCUGGGGCUCUAGCCACACCAGGCUGCCCUGUGGCUGGCUUCUGCCAUAAGGGCAGGAACAGAAUUGAAGUGUGCGACUGCCAUAUCAUUUGCUUUAAAGGAAAAUGUCCUGGACUUAUUCUCUUUUCUGUUCCUGAGUCCAGCAGGAGUGUGGCUAGAGCAGGCCCCAGAUUUGACCUCGAAGGCAAGGAUGACGCCUUGUGGGAUGAGCAAGUAAUAGGAUGAAAGGAACCUGGGUUCCUCUGUCGCACCAGCCUGGAUUGCUCAUUUCAGAAUUGGGCAGGAGGGACCCCUUUCCUUAGUCUAUUCUUGUGUCCAGCAACUGUAACUUAAUUCCAUCAGCUCUAAAUGUUGCCACAACUUCAUAGAAGUUAAAGUAUUUUCAUAUAUAGUAAUCCAUAUAACCACUGCAGUUAUUUUAGGGGUAGACAGGAGUCUUAUUUCAGAAGCCCCUCCUAGGUGGAGCCUGGUGACUAUUAGGCCAGGACUCUACCCUGGCGGCUUCUCCUCUCUCCACCACCCAUUCAGGAGCGUUGAGCUGCUGUGCAAUGGACUGAGCUGUUCCAGGUAGUAGUGAGUUCUCUGUGCCUGGAGGUAUCAAAUAUAGGCUGGGGAUGUCACAGGAAGAAUCUAAGCACUGCAAAGAAAGUGUGAUUAGUUGAUCCUUCGUAUCAUUUCAAAGCUUUCCCCAAAUUCUUUGAAUUUUAGGGCCUCUUCUAAACUGUUUUUCUCCCUGAACUUUAGAAGUAAUAUUUAGAAGUAAAUAAUAUAUCUGAAGGAGUUCACUGCUAUGAAGAAGAUGUAAAAUAAAAAUAAAGCCCCUAGGCCCCCAAGCAAAACAAAACAGACUCAUUGUGGUAAAAAGAGACCCCAGGAAACAUUAAAAACCAGAUUCUACAGCUUUGGCAAGGCAAGAGGUCAGUCACACCCAACGCUCUCCCACCUCGAUAACUGCCUCAAGACUUUCUUUCCUAAAAUUAAACUAAAACCAGUUACUGAAAAACUAUGUCUGGAAGAUUUCUUCCUCAACUUCAACAGACAACCUGACGUGGCGAACCCCCCCUUCCCUCAACGCAGUUUCCCCCUGACAAGUGUUCAGCCUUACAAAGCACUCCAUCCUCAUAACUGACCACAGACCACAGCCGGUUCUGGCCGGUUUACAGAGAUUGCACACCAAGCGUCUUUGUGCCCUGUGUUCCAUCUUUUGACAUAUAGAGCCCAAUUUUACUACAUUUUAAGUCUCCAUCCCAAAGUGAACAUGGGUUGUAUGUAACAUGUAACAUAUAUGAUUACUGGCUAUGCAUGCAUUAGGGCCUCUCAUAAAUAUUCAUAAGAUUAUCCUAUAACCUACUAAAUGUAUAUGUAAGGCUCAUCUUGUUGGGCAUAAAUCUCAGCCUCUCCCUUUUUUAUCUGAAGUGCUUGCUUUUGGCUUUGGCCAGAGGCUCCAGCCUGCAGAUUGUAACCCUUUAUAAGAAAUUAAGUUCUAUUUUUUCUAAAUGUAUACAUUUCAUGGUUUUAAGUUGACAAUGUAGAAAAAUGGGGGGAAAAAGAGUUAAAUGAAGAAACCAGUGAGAUUUCUGAAUAUUCAAGAAAGGUGAAGUUUAAUUUGCAUAUAGGCAUAACCUACACCUCACUUGGCAAGUGUUAGGCCACAGCACAAACCCCUCUGUCCAAUCACAAAUGUCCACAAAUUUGCAAAGUAACUGGACACGAACGAUAUGCUUCUCAAACUCACACACAUAUUCGUCCAUCACACACACACUCAAAUGAUAAAGAAAUACAUUGAAAUCCUCUACAAAAGAGAUCUGAGGACAGUAAUCAGAUGACCUCAUGUGCGGACAGCACUUUGCAGUUUACAGUCUAAUCCAUUUGGUCCUCACAAUAGCCCUGUGAGAUAAGCAGCACAGGGAUUACUAUUCACACCGUUUUGCAGAUGAGGAAACUGAGGCUCAGGGAUGUGUAAACACCAGCCUAAGGUUUUCCAGUUGGAGACUGGGCCUAGGACUCAGGGCCGGGAUGCCUAGGCCAGCUCUCUUUCAUAACUGGCUUUCUAGUGAAAAAUGAAAUGAGCUGUGUAAAAACCAACAUCAUUAAGUAUAAUAGAACUAUUAUUUUCCUUGAGCAGAUCAGACUAGUGCUAUCAAUCCUAAUGUUAAUGUCAUGCUGCAUGGCAGCUGAGAUGAAUAAUUUUCUGAAUCGUUCAUGUGUUUAUACCUACAACAAAAUGACUGUUUUCCAUUUUGGCUCUGCCUCAUCUUAAUUUUAAGUCACCAAUGGCCGCUGAGAAAUGACACACUGAUUAGAUUUCAUUGACUUAAGUCUUCUAUUACACGGUGGUAUCUAUAAUGGAGCCAUUAAACUUACAAUCUGAUUUCUUACUGAAAUGAAAAAGAGUUUUAUUUAUUGAUUCCCUCUGUGCACAUUAGCCUGGCUAUACCCUUCAGCCAUAAAUAGUAUGUUCUCUUUUAUGCCUUUUCGAUAGUUGUAAAAAUAAUACAUUUUGCAAUUGGAUUUUUAAAAACCUUUAUACUUUAAAGUGAAGAGAUUUUUUUUCAAGGGGAUAAAAUCAAACUUUGAAAAAAAAAAGCUAAGUAAAAUCUCUUGCUUUUAAAUAAAAGUUAAUUUUAUUGGGAAUAAUCCCUGUAUUGCAUUACUCUUUUCAGUUAAGAAUUUAAAAGCUGCCCAAUCGCUGCUGGCCCAAAAGUCUCGUCUUAUACAAUAACAUGAGAGAAAGGGUGCUGAUCCAUCAUUAUUCACUCCACAUGGGACCAUAAUGGAUUUUUCUCUUCCAGGUGAUUCAGUUUCUCUGAGUUUCAUUUGUUUAUAAGUAGUACUUUAAGACGUACUGAAAUUUAACAAACAGUAAUGGGACUUGGUAUGAGAGCCACUUGAAAAUAUUGCAAUGGCCGUUUAAAAUUCCGUCUUUAAAUUCCUUCAGAAAAGCACUAAGGAAAAGUGACGACGUUUUACUUCAUGCCUGAAUCUGUCAAAUAAUAUAUUGGAUUAGGUAAGAGAUUUGUCCCUGUAGCAAAACUAGAUGUCUCAGUUAAUAACGAAAAGGCAUCCCCUAAAAGCUCCAAGAUAAUUUCGUUGACAGUACAAAAUGUGGGCAUUCAUUCGAAAGCAUGAAAUUGGAUUUUUCUUCUGAUUUUCUAGGUUAAUUUUACAGUAUACAUGUUCGCUACUUGGCUGUUAGAGGUUGACCUCCCAUCUCCUCUUAGAAAUGGGUCUCCAUAAUGGACUAGAGGCAGAUGCAGCUGGGAAUGCAUGCUUUGUGUGUAGGCAGAAGAGGAUGGGUACUUUAACGACCAGAAAAAACACUGCAAAUUGCUCUUGGGGAUUUUUAAUUUGACCAAAUUGAAGGGAUUUUAAAAUGUGCAUUCCUCUCCCAGCUGGCACACGAAUAGUGCAGGUCAUCAACAGACACUCCCUCAGAGGUGGAGCUCUCUCUCUUGCCCUCUUGCAGCUCCAGGAAGGCUGCAGACUCCAGAAAGUGGUGUAAUUCUCAAACAAAAAUGCGAAAGGCUAGUGAGUGGCACACCCCUGCAGUCCCAGCUGCUUGAGAGGCUGAGGCAGGAAGAUUGCUUGAGUCCAGGAGUUCGAGACCAGCCUGGGCAACAUGGUGAGACCCUGUUUUUCAAACAAACAAAAACCCCCUAAAAGUCAGCAUAGCAAUUGACAGUGCCUAAUAUGACCAGUGCGGGGCAGUUCCAACAUCCUGCAGGAAAUAGGCGCAAAAGCUUUGUCACUAGUUGAAGAAAAGCUGCGAUCCAAAAGGGAAGGAGCAUUUGGAAACUCCUGUCUUAUUUUUUGUUAAUAAGAAUGGCUGCAGUGUCUCUGGAACAUUUGGGUCAAAGAAAUGAGUCCGAACUUCCAGAAAAAGUGCACACAGAACCAUCCCUUUCCCUCUGAAGGACUCUGGCAACUCCAAGGCAGAGUAGAAUGCAUGCACCUUUCCACGUGUUGUUUGGCCCGAAACUAGUAUGUGUGUGGUCCUCUCACAGAUUUGUCCCGGUUUUAGUUCACCCUUCAGGACUAUGCUUUUGAGCCAUGAAAGCUAACCUUUACUUUUCUUCUGCAAGACCUUGAGGUGUUUGGUGCAACUGAUACAUAUUAUUUCAAACCCUCAGUUUCUGGAGCACUGAGAAAUAAAUCACAAGUUAUGCGUUGUUAGGAUCCAAACAGCCCAUGCUUCUCAUCAUGCAUCAAGAUGCGUCAACCUCUUAUUUGAAACUAAAGAGAACAAACAAGCAACUUUAAAAAAGAAAAAGAAAGCAUCCAUAAGGAACCCUCCUUGGGUUGAGUGCUACACUGUUGGCUAAUAUGAACUAUUGAAAAUAUUUUGGGAAUGGUCUUCAAAUAUUAUAUUUUCUUUUACUUAGUUGAUAUUUCACUAUAUAGUUACAUACAGAGAUGGCACUUACCGUGCAGAAAGUGUACAUUCUCUACCUCUAUGGUGCAUUACCAAUGCUAGCUCUUUCACUGAGUCUUAAGAGCCAGCAGGUGGAAUUUAUUAGUCUGUUAGCUCUAGCAACAUAAUUAAAGUGCAAGGAAAGAGGGAAAGCAGCCAGACAGAUCCAUUUUUCAUUGUCAGCAUCAAUAAGUUUCAUGCUGCUAAGAGAAAAUGUCAGGUGCAACAGGUUCAGGGAAAUAGAACUAUAUUUUUUCUCUUCCUUCUUUUAAAGCAGCAGUCUCCCUGAGAAGAGAAGAGGGAGGUAAACAAUGAGAUAGCCCUAUUUCUUCAACAACUGACAAUCUUGGGAAAAGGAAGGUCACUUCCCCAGCCUCAGGUAGCAGGACUAACCCUUGCAUUUGGUUUUGUAAUGUAAGAGCUGUUCGGUGGUUGGGCCCAUUUCCCAUGCACUUAUAAUAUUCUCAGAGAUCUCUCAACAUCAGUUUUUAAAGAAAGAGAUCUACGAACAGCAUAUGGAAGUGUGGGUUUUGAAAAGAAAAUUUCACUAAACUGUUUAAAAAAAAUACAGCCAAUGUUCAUAGUAAGCCUAAAAAAAGGUCUGUGUAAAUGAGAAUAGAUUCCUGCAGUACUAUGAGUGGGGAAAGAAAACAAACAAAGCAAGGUGCAGAGAUGAUUUUUAGGUAUAGAUUUUCACUCAGCACUGAAACCCAUGAUUCCCCACAGCACUUGGUGGCCUUCUGUUCCACAGUUUUGUCGGUGAGAUGGGCGUGCACCUUUUUGCAGCUGCCUCUCCAAAAGGGCUGGCUUCUUAGGACCAACAGUCUCAAGGAAAAGCUCCCCACCCACCUCAGCCAGCCACUGUCUGGAAUCCUCUGGGGCACAGCCUACUGCAUUUAAUUAAGGAAAUGUUACAUACAAAUCCAUUUGUGUUUCAUUCUUUCUUUCCUAUCCCAUUGCCUAAAGACUGGAAAGGCAGUUUCAGAAGGUACCAUUCCUCACAUAGAAAUAUUUAGAAUGCACUGACAACCAUGCACAUGCUGUAGACUGAAAUUGCUUAUGUUUUGGUCCAUCUCUGUAGAGGAAGUGUCAGCUUUUCUGUGAAGCUUAUACCAAAAGGAAAUGUAAUGGAACCAGUCAAAUCCUAGAAGAUUGGUAGGUGUGCCCAGGCCAGUAAAGCGCCAGAGAAACAUC